GACGAACGCUGGCGGCGUGCCUAAUACAUGCAAGUUGAGCGAUGAAGCUUUGUGCUUGCACCCAUUUGAAGAGCAGCGAACGGGUGAGUAACGCGUGGGUAAUCUGCCUUUGAGCGGGGGACAACAUUUGGAAACGAAUGCUAAUACCGCAUAAUAACUUUAAACAUAAGUUUUAAGUUUGAAAGAUGCAAUUGCAUCACUCAAAGAUGAUCCCUCGUUGUAUUAGCUAGGUGGUUAGGUAAAGGCUCACCAAGGCGAGGAUACCUAGCCGACCGGAGAGGGUGGGUCGCCACAAUGGGACUGGGACACGGCCCAAACUCCCACGGGAGGCAGCAGGAGGGAAACGUCGGACAGGGAGGAAAGGCUGACCGAGCAACGCCGCGGGAGGGAAGAAGGUUGUCGGAUCGGAAAACUCUGUUGGUAGAGAAGAACGUGGGUGAGAGUGGAAAGCUCAUGAAGUGACGGUAACUACCCAGAAAGGAACGGCUAACUACGUG
Molecule: ribosomal RNA, 497 nt
Filed under: uncultured bacterium
Lineage: Bacteria
Description: partial 16S ribosomal RNA
Rfam family: Bacterial small subunit ribosomal RNA
Source: RNAcentral